GGUUAAGCGACUAAGCGUACACGGUGGAUGCCCUGGCAGUCAGAGGCGAUGAAGGACGUGCUAAUCUGCGAUAAGCGUCGGUAAGGUGAUAUGAACCGUUAUAACCGGCGAUUUCCGAAUGGGGAAACCCAGUGUGAUUCGUCACACUAUCAUUAACUGAAUCCAUAGGUUAAUGAGGCGAACCGGGGGAACUGAAACAUCUAAGUACCCCGAGGAAAAGAAAUCAACCGAGAUUCCCCCAGUAGCGGCGAGCGAACGGGGAGGAGCCCAGAGCCUGAAUCAGUGUGUGUGUUAGUGGAAGCGUCUGGAAAGGCGCGCGAUACAGGGUGACAGCCCCGUACACAAAAAUGCACAUAUUGUGAGCUCGAUGAGUAGGGCGGGACACGUGGUAUCCUGUCUGAAUAUGGGGGGACCAUCCUCCAAGGCUAAAUACUCCUGACUGACCGAUAGUGAACCAGUACCGUGAGGGAAAGGCGAAAAGAACCCCGGCGAGGGGAGUGAAAAAGAACCUGAAACCGUGUACGUACAAGCAGUGGGAGCACGCUUAGGCGUGUGACUGCGUACCUUUUGUAUAAUGGGUCAGCGACUUAUAUUCUGUAGCAAGGUUAACCGAAUAGGGGAGCCGAAGGGAAACCGAGUCUUAACUGGGCGUUAAGUUGCAGGGUAUAGACCCGAAACCCGGUGAUCUAGCCAUGGGCAGGUUGAAGGUUGGGUAACACUAACUGGAGGACCGAACCGACUAAUGUUGAAAAAUUAGCGGAUGACUUGUGGCUGGGGGUGAAAGGCCAAUCAAACCGGGAGAUAGCUGGUUCUCCCCGAAAGCUAUUUAGGUAGCGCCUCGUGAAUUCAUCUCCGGGGGUAGAGCACUGUUUCGGCAAGGGGUCAUCCCGACUUACCAACCCGAUGCAAACUGCGAAUACCGGAGAAUGUUAUCACGGGAGACACACGGCGGGUGCUAACGUCCGUCGUGAAGAGGGAAACAACCCAGACCGCCAGCUAAGGUCCCAAAGUCAUGGUUAAGUGGGAAACGAUGUGGGAAGGCCCAGACAGCCAGGAUGUUGGCUUAGAAGCAGCCAUCAUUUAAAGAAAGCGUAAUAGCUCACUGGUCGAGUCGGCCUGCGCGGAAGAUGUAACGGGGCUAAACCAUGCACCGAAGCUGCGGCAGCGACGCUGAUGCGUUGUUGGGUAGGGGAGCGUUCUGUAAGCCUGCGAAGGUGUGCUGUGAGGCAUGCUGGAGGUAUCAGAAGUGCGAAUGCUGACAUAAGUAACGAUAAAGCGGGUGAAAAGCCCGCUCGCCGGAAGACCAAGGGUUCCUGUCCAACGUUAAUCGGGGCAGGGUGAGUCGACCCCUAAGGCGAGGCCGAAAGGCGUAGUCGAUGGGAAACAGGUUAAUAUUCCUGUACUUGGUGUUACUGCGAAGGGGGACGGAGAAGGCUAUGUUGGCCGGGCGACGGUUGUCCCGGUUUAAGCGUGUAGGCUGGUUUUCCAGGCAAAUCCGGAAAAUCAAGGCUGAGGCGUGAUGACGAGGCACUACGGUGCUGAAGCAACAAAUGCCCUGCUUCCAGGAAAAGCCUCUAAGCAUCAGGUAACAUCAAAUCGUACCCCAAACCGACACAGGUGGUCAGGUAGAGAAUACCAAGGCGCUUGAGAGAACUCGGGUGAAGGAACUAGGCAAAAUGGUGCCGUAACUUCGGGAGAAGGCACGCUGAUAUGUAGGUGAAGUCCCUUGCGGAUGGAGCUGAAAUCAGUCGAAGAUACCAGCUGGCUGCAACUGUUUAUUAAAAACACAGCACUGUGCAAACACGAAAGUGGACGUAUACGGUGUGACGCCUGCCCGGUGCCGGAAGGUUAAUUGAUGGGGUUAGCGCAAGCGAAGCUCUUGAUCGAAGCCCCGGUAAACGGCGGCCGUAACUAUAACGGUCCUAAGGUAGCGAAAUUCCUUGUCGGGUAAGUUCCGACCUGCACGAAUGGCGUAAUGAUGGCCAGGCUGUCUCCACCCGAGACUCAGUGAAAUUGAACUCGCUGUGAAGAUGCAGUGUACCCGCGGCAAGACGGAAAGACCCCGUGAACCUUUACUAUAGCUUGACACUGAACAUUGAGCCUUGAUGUGUAGGAUAGGUGGGAGGCUUUGAAGUGUGGACGCCAGUCUGCAUGGAGCCGACCUUGAAAUACCACCCUUUAAUGUUUGAUGUUCUAACGUUGACCCGUAAUCCGGGUUGCGGACAGUGUCUGGUGGGUAGUUUGACUGGGGCGGUCUCCUCCUAAAGAGUAACGGAGGAGCACGAAGGUUGGCUAAUCCUGGUCGGACAUCAGGAGGUUAGUGCAAUGGCAUAAGCCAGCUUGACUGCGAGCGUGACGGCGCGAGCAGGUGCGAAAGCAGGUCAUAGUGAUCCGGUGGUUCUGAAUGGAAGGGCCAUCGCUCAACGGAUAAAAGGUACUCCGGGGAUAACAGGCUGAUACCGCCCAAGAGUUCAUAUCGACGGCGGUGUUUGGCACCUCGAUGUCGGCUCAUCACAUCCUGGGGCUGAAGUAGGUCCCAAGGGUAUGGCUGUUCGCCAUUUAAAGUGGUACGCGAGCUGGGUUUAGAACGUCGUGAGACAGUUCGGUCCCUAUCUGCCGUGGGCGCUGGAGAACUGAGGGGGGCUGCUCCUAGUACGAGAGGACCGGAGUGGACGCAUCACUGGUGUUCGGGUUGUCAUGCCAAUGGCACUGCCCGGUAGCUAAAUGCGGAAGAGAUAAGUGCUGAAAGCAUCUAAGCACGAAACUUGCCCCGAGAUGAGUUCUCCCUGACCCUUUAAGGGUCCUGAAGGAACGUUGAAGACGACGACGUUGAUAGGCCGGGUGUGUAAGCGCAGCGAUGCGUUGAGCUAACCGGUACUAAUGAACCGUGAGGCUUAACCUU
Molecule: ribosomal RNA, 2902 nt
Filed under: Escherichia coli
Lineage: Bacteria; Pseudomonadati; Pseudomonadota; Gammaproteobacteria; Enterobacterales; Enterobacteriaceae
Description: 23S ribosomal RNA
Rfam family: Bacterial large subunit ribosomal RNA
Source: RNAcentral